This 35403-nucleotide long non-coding RNA is filed under the name Citrus maxima (pomelo). RNAcentral describes it as "long non-coding RNA (CMAX_LNC002501)". Lineage: Eukaryota; Viridiplantae; Streptophyta; Magnoliopsida; Sapindales; Rutaceae. The record is from RNAcentral.
AAAUCCACGAGCAUCGCUCCCGCAAAUGUUUCAUGUAAAAUUUUCUUUGUUUAAUCCAAUGGCAAAUAAAUUUGUUUUCAGUUCAAGAAAUUUUAUCAAUUACGUUAAUAAUUAGUCCUAACAUGAUUAUUUGAUUUUUUUUUAUUUCUUCAGUUCGUAUUGUUUGAACUAGUUUACAUGACGAGUAGUGCAAUGGGUCCAUAUAUUAUAUAUGAAUGGGAAUUUAUCACUAAUAUAUUAUAUAUAUGUCCAUAUAUUAUACUAUUCGUGGUCAAUAGCUGUAGCCAGGAGUGGCUCUCCUUGUUGAUAAACUGAAAUUAGCGCAAACCUUGAGGACAGGCAUGAAAAAAUGGGAACACGAGCAUGAUUUGUGAUGAGAUAUAAUAUAGUUGAACCCAUGCCUUGACUGAUUCAAUAGAAAGGAGGGAAAAAAGAAGGAAAACAGGGGCAAGCAAUAAAGAAGAAGCAAAUUAUAAUCAUGGCUUCUAUAGCUGAUCGGGAAGAAGAGACAAAUAAUUUUUCAUAUGCAAUGGAACUGGCAAGUGCCAUAGUGCUACCUGCAGCUAUGCAAGCAGUGGUAGAGCUUGAUGUGUUUGAGAUCAUAAGCAAAGCCGGUCCUGGUGCUAAGCUUUCGGUUUCGGAAAUUGUGGCUCAAAUUCCCUUAAAAGAUAAUAAUCCUGAAGCUGCAGCCAUGAUGUUAGAUCGGGUGCUGAGGCUUCUUGUCAGCUACAAUGCUCUUCAUUGCUCUUUUGUUGAUGGACAAAGGCUCUACUCUCUUGCUCCUGUUUCUAAAUACUUUGUUCGCAAUAAUCAAAACGGCGCGUCGUUGCGUCCCUACAUGGCCUUGUCUCUCGACAAGGUCCUCAUGGAUGGCUGGUAUACAGAAUUACUUUUUCUCUUUUCUUUUCUUUGCUAAUUUUGGUAAAUUAAGGAAAAUUAUCAAAACCUUCUAGUUGUCUAUAUAUAUAAAAAAAUUAAUCAUUUGCAUCUCAUGUUUUGAACCCAUCAAAAUCCGUCAGCUGCUAAAAAGACAGUUAUCUUCAAUUAUUUUACUUCUGUUGUGGUAAAAGACAAAAAAAGUUUAAAGUCCAAGCGUUUUUGAAAUAUGAAAGUAGAAAGGGUUGAUUGUAACAAACAAUUAAUAAAGUAUUCUUUAUCUUGGUUAAUUAUGCGGUCUAAUUUUACAAACUAAGCUUCUAAAAUUGUUACUAACUGUGUUUGGAUUUUGGAAAAUUCAGGUUUCGGUUGAAAGAGCAAAUUCUUGAAGGAGGAAUUGCGUUUAAUAAAGUGCACGGAAUGCAUAUCUACGAUUACAUGGGCGUUGACUCAAGAUUCAAUGAUGUUUUCAACAAUGGAAUGUUAAGCCACACUUCUGUUGUCAUGGAGAAGGUCCUAGAAUCAUACAAAGGCUUUGAGCAUGUUAAGAAGCUUGUCGAUGUUGGUGGCGGCUUAGGAGCUACUCUUAACAUUAUAAUUUCCAAAUACUCUCAUAUUAAGGGUAUUAAUUAUGAUUUACCUUAUGUUAUUAAAAAUGCCCCAUCUUACCCUGGUAUGUUACUUACAAAAUUUAUAUACUAUUUUUGUUAAUGAUUCAUUGAUGGGAUACACAAUAGCUAACAAAAAUUAUUAUUAUUAUUAUUAUUUUAAUUUCAGGCAUUGAACAUGUAGGUGGAGAUGUUAAAGUAUGAGCUUUAAACUGAAUUCCAGAAGAUCAACCGUCAUGUCAGUCUGUGGUAAUGUUGAUAUACGACAUGUCAGCUAUAAAGGAUACAAGCCUGUAUGACAAACUUUGGUCGUCAGCCAAAGCUUUAAGUGAAGCACGUAAAUGUCACGUGAUUCCACUUACUCUGAACGGCAUGAAAGAAUGUCGUUUUGGGGCUUGCUGUUUGUAAGGGUUUCAACACGUGUCCUGGAAGCUGUUAAAAUCAGUUAUUGCAGGCGGGAGAAUUCUGGGUUUGUAAGCUAACAAACCCAGAUUACAGCUGGUUGACAGGGGGUCUUUGUAACGGGCUCUAAGCUAGUAUAAAUAGUCUAAGGGACUGGGAAAUCAGAGAGGGUGUUGUUUGUAACUUCGUCUCUAAACUUGUAACUUGUUCUUGGUUAUUGAAUAAAAGCUGUUGCUCUGUUCUUCAGUGGAUGUAGGCUGCCUCCAGCCGAACCACUUAUAUUUGUUGUUCUUUGCAUAUUGUUUCUGGGUGAUUUAGAUGUGUGAAAUUGGUUUAACCUUUCUUGAAACAUUGAUUAGAGAGUUCAGCUAGAUCCUGGAGAUUCUUGAUUGGAUAAUAAUUCUGGUCUAGGUUCAACAAAUUGGUAUCAGAGCCUUAUCUCUGAUCUUUGAUCCAAGAAAUGGGAACCUCUAAAUUUGAGGUAGAAAAAUUCACUGGAGAAAACGACUUCCAUCUAUGGCGGCUCAAGAUGAGAGCUCUGUUGGUUCAUCAGGGGCUGGAGGAGACUUUGGGUGAUCCAAGAUCUGAAAAGAAACCCAGCAAGCUUUCUGAUGAUGAAAUGCGAGAUGCUUUGGAUAAAGCUCAUAGCACACUAAUCUUGAGUCUGGGAGAUGGAGUUCUCAGGGAAGUGGGAGAUCAAACAACUGCUGCAGGCCUCUGGAUAAAACUUGAAGACCUAUAUACCAAGAAGUCUCUAACCAAAAGACUUUGUACCAAAAAUAGGCUGUAUACUUUGCAAAUGGAGGAAGGAAGCUCUCUGGCAACUCACAUUGAUAGCUUUAACAGGAUCAUCCUGGAUCUUGAAGAUAUCAAUGUGAGUCUUGAGGAUGAAGACAAGGCAAUAAUCUUGUUAGCAUCUCUCCCACCAUCCUAUGAACACUUUGUAGAUACACUGCUCUAUGGAAGGCAGUCAAUAUCAAUGGCUGAUGUAAAGGACUCUCUUAGUUCUAAAGAAGUCACAAAGAAGACAGAAACAAGAGCUGGGGAAGGUCUGAUGGCAAGAGGAAGACCUGAGAAGAAAGAAUACAACAAAGGGAAGAAAAGGGACAAGUCAAAGUCCAAGAAUAAAAACCUGAAAUGCUUUCAUUGCCAUAAAGAAGGGCAUUUCAAAAGGGACUGUCCAGAUAGAAAGAACAAGGAUAAAGAAGGGCAUGGAAAGAAUGGUGAUGCUGCUGUUGCAUCCGAGGAUGAGGGCUAUGACUCAGCUGGUGUCCUUUUGGCCUCUGAAACUCAGACAAACAGUAAGUGGAUUCUUGACUCUGGAUGUUCAUAUCACAUGUGCCCUGAUCAAAAUCUUUUUACUACUUAUAAUGCUUUUAAUGGAGGUGAGGUUCUGAUGGGGAAUAACACAAUGUGUAAGGUUGUUGGGUUAGGAACCAUUAGAUUUAAGAUGUUUGAUGGGAUGAUUAGGGAGCUAAGAGAUGUAAGGCAUAUUCCUGAUCUAAAGAGGAAUUUAAUAUCUCUAGGCACUCUAGAUCAAGUUGGAUGCUCCAUUAAAGUUGAAUAUGGGGUAAUGAAGGUUGUUAGAGGGUCUAUAGUGGUUAUGAAAGGGAAUAAGCAAAAUGGCUUAUAUGUGCUUCAAGGCACAGCUGUAACUGGGGAUGUUAGUAUCUCAGCAAGUCUGGGUUUGGAUAAAACUCUCAUAUGGCAUCUAAGGUUAGGACAUAUGAGUGAGAAGGGGCUAAAAAUUUUAGAAAAACAGGGAGUCUUAGGGGAUGAUAAGUUGGGAUCUCUGGAGUUCUGUGAGGUAUGUGUCCUAGGCAAGUCCUCAAGAACUAGUUUCAAAACUGCAGUGCAUAACACAAAAGGGACCUUAGAUUACAUCCAUUCAUAUCUGUGGGGGCCAUCACAGACUGUCUCUUUAGGUGGAGCAAAAUACUUUCUCUCUUUUAUAGAUGAUUACUCGAGAAUGGUAUGGGUUUAUGUCUUGAAAGGCAAGGAUGAAGUCUUCGAGAGGUUUAAACAAUGGAAAGCAUUGGUAGAAACUCAGAGUGGUAGGAGGAUUAAGAGACUGAGGACUGAUAAUGGGCUUGAAUUCUGCAACAAACAGUUUGAUGAUUUCUGCAAACUCAAUGGCAUAGCAAGACACAAAACAGUGAGUUACACUCCACAGCAGAAUGGGCUAGCAGAAAGAAUGAAUAGGACUUUGAUGGAUAAAGUCAGAUGUUUACUGAUCCACUCAAAGCUUCCUCAAACACUGUGGGCUGAAACCUUGAUGACAGCAUGUUAUCUAGUGAAUAGAAGCCCAUCCAGUGCCUUAAACUUCAAGACACCAGUAGAGAUGUGGUCAGGAAGGGCAGCAAAUUAUUCAAAUCUAAAGAUCUUUGGUUGUCCAGCAUAUGCACAUGUCAAGCAAGGGAAGCUGGAGCCAAGAGCACUGAAAUGUGUAUUCCUGGGUUAUCCUGAAGGUGUCAAAGGUUAUAAACUAUGGUGCACUGAAAUGAGGCCACCAAAGUGCAUAGUCAGCCGAGAUGUAGUCUUCAAUGAGUCAGAGAUGUUAAUGAAAGGACAUCAAAAGGAUCCUGCUAAACUAGAAGGAGGACUUGACUCACAGGGACAACAUUUGAAGGUGGAGUUUAAAGGUAAAUCAGCUCUGGACUACCAUGAUGAAGCUGAAGACAUGGAGAGAGAAGAUGCUGAAGAUAUCAGUGAAGCUUCUGGAACUCAUACAGAUAUUCAAGACUAUCAGCUGGCAAGAGACAGACAAAUGAGAGUUAUUAAAACACCUAAGAGGUUUGCAUAUGCAGAUUUGAUUGCAUAUGCUCUAACAGCAGCCCAUGAAUUAGACAAUGAUGAGCCCAAAACCUACAGAGAAGCUGUUUCAGGAAAGGAUGCAGAUAAGUGGAUAAAAGCUAUGAAGGAUGAAAUGGAGUCAUUACACAAAAAUAACACCUGGAAGCUUGUAAAAGGGCCAGAAAAUAAAAAGGCAGUAGGCUGUAAAUGGGUUUACAAGAUCAAGCAGGGUAUACCAGGGGUUGAAUCCAUGAGAUAUAAAGCUAGGCUGGUUGCCAAAGGCUACACACAGAGGGAGGGGAUUGAUUUUACAGAAGUCUAAUCACCUGUAGUUAGGCAUACCUCAAUAAGACUGAUCCUAGCUCUGGUUGCAGUUCAUAACAUGCAUCUUGAACAGAUGGAUGUUAAGACUGCAUUUUUACAUGGUGAGCUUGAAGAACAAAUAGUAAUGUCUCAACCUGAAGGCUUUGAAGACCAGUCAAAUGGUGAUUGGGUAUGCCUUCUGAAGAAAUCACUUUAUGGCCUCAAGCAGUCUCCAAGACAGUGGUAUCUCAGGUUUGACAGCUUUAUGAUAAAACUUUGUUUUCAGAGGUGUAAUCUAGACUGCUGUGUUUACUACAAAGAGAUAUCAGGGGACAUGGUUUAUCUGAUUCUGUAUGUGGAUGACAUGCUUAUUGCCAGCAAAAGCAUAGGACACAUAAAUUUUCUGAAACAACAACUCAAAGGUGAAUUUGAGAUGAAGGAUCUGGGACCAGCUAAGAAGAUACUUGGAAUGCAGCUAAUUAGAGAUUGGAAAUCUGGCACCUUGUUUCUUACACAGGAAGAUUACAUCAGGAGAGUACUUGAUAAGUUUGACAUGACUACUGCCAAACCAGUGCAAACACCAUUACCAGCCCAUUUCAGAUUAUCAGAACAACAGUGCCCAAUAACUGAUGCUGACAAGUCUGAAAUGAUAAAAAUACCUUAUGCAAGUGCUGUAGGCUGCUUAAUGUAUGCUAUGGUACUCACCAGACCUGAUAUAGCACAUGCAGUCAGUGUGGUCAGCAGGUAUAUGUCUAAUCCUGGAAAAGAACAUUGGAAGGCUGUAAGGUGGAUACUCAGGUAUCUAAGGGGAACUUCUGGGCAUGGUCUGAUAUAUAGGGGACAGAGAAGAGAUGGCAGUUUAAUUGUGGGAUAUGUGGAUGCUGAUUAUGCAGGGGACUUGGAUAGAAGAAGGUCUUUAACUUGCUAUCUGUUCACAUUCAACAAUUGCACAAUAAACUGGAAAUCACAGCUACAGAGUGUAGUGGCUUUGUCCACAACUGAAGCAGAGUACACAACUGCUGCUGAAGCCAUAAAAGAGGCAAUAUGGCUGAAGGGUAUGUUGAAGGAGCUUGGAGUCAAUCAGAGGUCUGUGGUGAUACAUUGUGAUAGCCAAAGUGCUAUAUGCCUAAGCAAGAAUCAAACACACCAUGAAAGAACCAAACACAUUGACAUUAAGGUGCACUUCAUCAGGCUGGAAGUCUCAAAAGCAACUGUAAUGCUUCAGAAAAUCCAUACAGAUGACAAUGUUGCAGAUAUGUUGACUAAAGCUGUUCCAGGAGCUAAAUUCAAAUUCUGUUUGGAUUUGGCUGGCAUCUGUGAUAAUUGAAAUACAGAUGGUAGAAGAGAAGAGUAGCAGGUCAUGAGAGUUUCAAGCUCAAGGUGGAGAAUGUUAAAGUAUGAGCUUUAAGCUGAAUUCCAGAAGAUCAACCGUCAUGUCAGUCUGUGGUAAUGUUGAUAUACGAUAUGUCAGCUAUAAAGGAUACAAGCCUGUAUGACAAACUUUGGUCGUCAGCCAAAGCUUUAAGUGAAGCAUGUAAAUGUCACGUGAUUCCACUUACUCUGAACGGCAUGAAAGAAUGUCGUUUUGGGGCUUGCUGUUUGUAAGGGUUUCAACACGUGUCCUGGAAGCUGUUAAAAUCAGUUAUUGCAGGCGGGAGAAUUCUGGGUUUGUAAGCUAACAAACCCAGAUUACAGCUGGUUGACAGGGGGUCUUUGUAACGGGCUCUAAGCUAGUAUAAAUAGUCUAAGGGACUGGGAAAUCAGAGAGGGUGUUGCUUGUAACUUCGUCUCUAAACUUGUAACUUGUUCUUGGUUAUUGAAUAAAAGCUGUUGCUCUGUUCUUCAGUGGAUGUAGGCUGCCUCCAGCCGAACCACUUAUAUUUGUUGUUCUUUGCAUAUUGUUUCUGGGUGAUUUAGAUGUGUGAAAUUGGUUUAACCUUUCUUGAAACAUUGAUUAGAGAGUUCAGCUAGAUCCUGGAGAUUCUUGAUUGGAUAAUAAUUCUGGUCUAGGUUCAACAUGAGACUUGUUUGAAAGUGUUCUUGAGACAGAUACCAUUUUCAUGAAGGUUAUAUGUGUGUGUGUGUGUUAUUUGAAAUUAUCGUUAUAAGGAAAAAUUGAUUUAGGGUGAAUCACACUUUUCUCCCUAAUAUUUUGUAGAUUUACCUUAACCUGUUACUCACUUGAUAUUAGAAUUUUCCCAAAAACACUUAAAAGGAAUACCAAAAUAUUAUGAAAACUGUAAAAAAAAAAAAGGUUAAUUCACUGUAUACGUAUGUUUUGUUCUAUAACAUAAAUUGAUCAUAUAUAUUCAGAUUAAUAGAUCUAAUGAGAAUUAACAUGAAUAUUAAACUUUUGCAGUGGGUCCUUAAUGGUUUUGAUGAUGAGCAGUCCUUGAAAUUGUUGAAAAAUUGUUACAAAGCUCUUCCGGAUGGUGGGAAAUUGCUUAAUGUUAAUGCAGCAUUUCCAGAAGUGCCUGAGAAUAGCGCGACUUCAAGGGAGAUCUCCCUCUUGGAUACAAUUUGUUUAAUCCAAGUUCCUCAUGGAAGAGAGCGGACCAAACAAGAAUACAGUGAAUUAGCAAUCAAAGCUGGAUUUAAAGGCGUCAACUACGAAUAUUGUGCAUGCAAUUUAUAUGUUAUGGAAUUCCUCAAAUAAUAAAUUGCUUUAUUUGUAUUAGGAAAGGUCUUCUCAACUCUGUUUGGGGAGUCACCAAUUUCUGGUUUGUGUUACUUAAUUUUUCUUCUCGUUUGGCCUUAGCGCUUCUCUUAUGUACUCUUUUUCAUUCUAUGAACAUUUGUUUCUUUAAAGGAGAUUGACUGCUUUAACAUAGCUCUUAUGCACUCUUCUCCAUUUUAAUUUUUAUCGAGGAAAAAAAUAGUGUAUUCAUCUUACUUUGUUAUUUUUUUUCUUUUCCUGGUUAUUUCAAAGUUAUGUUGUGCAAAAAUCAGCAAUAUAUAAUUAAUAAUUUAAAGUAAUAAAGUUUGAUUUUUGAACGUAAUAAAAUACACAGUAAAUGAAUCAAAUGAAGUCUGAAAAUAUAUUGAAAAUGGAUUAUAGAGAUAUUAAUUUUUUAUUAAACAACUACUGAGAGCUAAUGAUGUAGAACGUUAUUUUAGGAAUUUUAAAAUUUUAAAAUUUUAUUAUUUUAGGAUUUUCUAUUUUAAUUAGAGUCAAUUAUGAUAUUCUAUUAUUUUAAAACUUUCUAUUUUCAUUAUAGUCAAUUAAAGUAUGAGAUUUAGUUAACUUAGGAAAGUAUCUUUUAUUUUCAUUUUAGAUUAUGAUUUAGUUUUUUAUUUUUAAAUUAGCUUAGGGAAAUUAUAUUUUAAUUCCAUUAUAAUUGUGAUUUAGUUUUCUUUUUGAGUUAAUUUACGGAAGUGAGUUUUCUUUUAAUAUAAAUAUUAAAUAGAGAGGUCUUGUCAUUUUUUUAGACUCAAUUAUUCUAUAAAUUUUAUUACAAAAUUUAUUUUUUCUAUCUUCUUUACAAUUCCACUUCGUAAGCUACUAUAGGUCAAAGGGGUUAAAAAAAUAGUAGAAGUCUUUCGAAACAAGUCACAUAUGACAGACACAUCAGAACUAGAAGUAAAUAAUAUAGUUUGCACAGGCAAAAGGAUUUCCAGCGUUUCGUCAAAGGCACAAUUGACCCAACGCCUGAUUGACCAAAACAAGUAGUUGAUUAUUGUAAUGGAUCCGCCACCAUACCAUAAAUUUUAUCUUUAUUCAACAAAGCCGUUGGAUGCAUUUUUGUUCAGUCUAACGACUGAAAUUAUUUAUUGGAGAAUUGAUGCAGCAACUUACAACCGUUGCAACGGUUUGUAUAUUAAUCUAAUUGCAUCAACGCGUUUUCCAAAAAUUUCUCAGCACUGCAUUAACAACACUAUUUCAUCUGAAAAUCGAUCUGGAGAUAGCAAUUAACAAACAAAAUUGGAACUGGAGGAUCAGAUUUUUUUGUUGUGAUUAAACAUUUGUGAUGAUUCGGUACAUGGAUAUGUUCUUUCACUUGCAGUCAAGCGAUGACGAAAUUAUAAUCAUCGCGGGGAAGUGCAACCAAAAGCUAGGGGUGAUGAAAGUUUAGGCAUAUAUCAAAUCAGAGUGAAUCUCGCGUCACUUUAAUCCGUUCUUGUGCCGAUUGAAUCACCCGAGGCAGUAAGUAAUUCCUUACUAAAACUAGUAAUUUUUUUUUUUUUAUUUGAAGAGAUUUAAAACUUGUAAUUACGAUUGGUUGAACACUUCACAAAUGAGUUAAUUGAACAAUUGGUAAUGGGGUGAUGUGAGGAAGUCUCCCGGGGCUAUGGCUGAGCUGAGGAAGCAAGUUGGAUGUAAAAUGAAAUUCUUUGUGCGAACACAAUGGAACCAAUAUCAGUUCAAUCUCUAUAUGAUAGAGUUCAAGUAUAGAUUUUACUAUUUGAGGUACGUUUUAAGUUCAUAAUCAAAAUUUACAUUUUUUGAAACAACCAUUUGUUGUAUGAUGGGUGAGGAACAAUAACAUUAUCAAUUCCCUCAGGCUAAAGGACACUACAGCCUUCUGUGUUAAGCCGUUUGCUUCAAUUUUCCAUUUCUAAUUACAGCUUCUUUAUCGUCAACACCAUCCUUAACCUUAAGUAAGCUUUUUUCUUUUAUUAUUAUUAUUGUUGUUGUUGUUGUUGCCUGAUUCAUUGAACUUUUCCAAUUUUGAAGUCGGUUAGUGAUGCUUUGAGCAAAUUUGGGAUCACAUUCGUUAAUUCGUUUGCUUUACAUGUUAAUAAAUAAUAGAGCAAUUUUAAAACUGCAUGUAACCUGUUUGAAAAAAUUUCUUCUAUAGAUAACUUUUUUUUCCUAGUCUAUUGGUUGUGAAUAAUGUUGUGAAGUUGAUAAAAGAUGGGAAUUCUUUAGUUUUGAUUUUACUCUUUGAGGAACUAUAGAACAUGACAAAUAGAGUUUGUUGUGUGAGGGGCACAUGUUCUCUCACAAGUGCUUGGUUCUUUAAUAUACAAAUAUAAGACACCUUAUGAUGAAAAAUGGAGUUGAUAAACUGACUCCAGACUAUCUGACCCAUUACAUUUUGGAUUUCGAUUCUUAGAUGAGAUUCCUCUUUCCAUUCUUUCAAUUUUCAAAUUUACUAGUGGCACUUUCAUUUGGUAAACUACACACACACACACACACACACAUACAGAUAUACACUAAUCAAUUAUAUUGACUUAUUUUCGUUUUCUUUUGAUUCAUGCUGCCGAUAUAUAUAAAAUUUUAUUUGUCAAAUUUAGAGGAGAAUUAGUUUUGCUACAUAUAGAUAAUGAACCCAAAUAUGUUUACAUGCAUGUCUGGGGUUUGUUUUAUCUUUGAGGAGCAGCAUUACCCAUCAAAAGUUUGAAGAGCUCUGUGAACUUAAGCAUUCGGGGUUGAAAAUGGAUAAGAUAUAUGCAGUGGAGUUAAUUAGAAGAGCUACUAGAGUGCCAAAGUUGCAGGUUUUCUCUAUCCUCUUUGUUUUGGUAGUUACCUGAGUAUUAAAUUCUUGAGGCCGGUAAGAUGGUAGACUUUAGCUCAAUUUAAGAGUAGAAAAUAAUAUAUGUUUACUUGUGUUAGUCUUAAUUUUUAAUCACUUAGCCUCAAAUAAGAAAUUUUUUAUGUUUGCUCUGCAAUGAUGUUAUUUAGUGUUAAUAGCUUUAUUUUGUUACUAUUUGUCUACACAGAUUCUUGUUCUCAAAAGACCUUUUACUUUAAAUAUUUGGCAUAAGGACAAUCUCAUUUAAUACCAUCAAUAAUUUUCAUUUUUUCUCAUUAGUUUUAAUAUGUUUGAUAACUGUAUGGUUAAGCAAUCUAUGCAAUGUUAUCUUGUCAUUAGUUUGAGCUCAUUUUUUAUUACAAUUAUGAAUAUUUGUUAUGAAUGAUAUCAUACUGGAAAAUAUUGUUAACUUGUUAAUUUCGUAAAUGUGAUAUCUUGUCAAAGUGACUAAUAGCAUUUCAUCAUGCUAUGAGUUAAACAUGGAACAAAUGAUGACAUACAGUUGUGGAAUGUGGCAGAUCUCCAGGACUCUUAUGUGCUCAUGCUUGCAGACGUAUAUUUUUGCUGCAUACUUUUAGGUUCGAUGGCUUUCAUUUCUAAUUGAAGUGUAUUUGAUUGCGGUGCAACGUGGGGUGACUUAUGUUGUCUUAUACAAUGAAAUGAGUGAUUACAUAAUUUAGGAAAAGCUCGAGUGUGGGUGAACGAUAUAGAGUGCUAUAUGAGUUAUGCUAACUGUUGUGACCUUGAUUUUGUAUUAUUGUUUGCAUUGAUUUUGGUUGAUAAACAAAUGUGUGGUGGAUCAUGGAUGGAUGUAUGGAUGAGGAUAAUAAAUAAAUGAAAAUAUACAUCAGACACAAGCAGAUAAAUUAAGGGUAAUGGAACUUGAUUGAGGUUAGUACUUCUUCUACUACAAAGCAAAUCAUCACCCACAGAAAUUCGUACAAGCAUGUUUCUGUUGGCAAGUUUAGCAGAUGGAGACAACAUAGGAGCUAUACGCACCAUUAUCUAAAAGAAGCAAAGUAAUGUUGUGUUUAUCAAAGUUUUCAAAUUAAUGAUGUGCUCGUCAAGAUUUUACACGUAACAAAUUAGACUGAAAUUUAACCGUCAUUUACAAAGAAGUUUGAUUUAUUCACUAACCGCAAACAAGUACAUGCUGCUUUGUUUGCUGUUUGUAGAAAAUUGAGUCACGUCGACUAAGUUCUAACAAUAAACAUUAGUAAAGCUUUUUAUAUAUCCUUAUUGGCACCUCUUUCAAGAAAAAAGAUAAUGUAGUCCAUAAUGUAUGCAUUAAGUUGUGUUUAUUUGCUAGAGUAAAAGUGAGGAGAGUAGAUUCAUUCUAAUUUAACAUUUAUUUGCCCAUUUAAAGAGGAGAGUAAGUGUCUCACUCUGUGUGUCUCUCUCAUUUUUUUGAAUGAAGAGUGAGAUUCCCAUUGUUAGGAGAUGAGAAUGAGAAUCUACUUUUACUUUUUUUUUUUUACUCUUCCCUUAUUAAGUAUAAUAUAAUUAUACUUAUUAAAAUAAAAUAAUAUUAUAUUUAUUUAAAAAUAAUAAUAUUAAUAAACUUAUUUAAAUAUAAUAUUAGUAUAUUCAUUGAGAAUUAAUAAUAUUACUAUAUACUAUCUUUAUUUGAAAAUAAAUAUUAUUAUAUUUAUUAAAAAAAUAAUAGUACUAUAUUUAUUUAUAUUUAAUAUUUAAUAAUAAUAAAUAGUUGAUUCUAAAAAAUAUUAAUAUUUUACUAUAUUAUUAAUAAUAAUGUUUCAUUUGUGUUGCUCUUGUCAAUAGUUUUUAAUUUACUUAUUUAAAAUUAUAAUAAAAUUAAUAAAAAAGUUAUGAUUUACAUAAUUAAAAAUAUUAAUAACUAUUAUUAAUGAAAUAAAUAGUUAUUUUAAAAAUAUUUUUUUAUUCAUUUUGCAAUUAAAACUACAACUCUAUAAAUGAGGGUAAAAUUAUCAUGUAAAUUAAUUCACUCUUAAUUCAAGACAAAGUAAACACAUAAAUGAAAUUUUGAUUAUAAAUUGGAUUCUAAUUCUUAUUUCACACCCGCAAUAUAGGUAAAUAACCUAUUUUUACUCCUACUUCACAUCUCCAUUCUAGGAUUUCAACUCCCUAAGAUUCACACUUCAAUUUGGGAAGUAGACGCUGCUUAAAUGUCAAUGUCAUAAGUCUAUCGAACUGAUAUAUAAAUUCCUCAUCAAAUAACUUCAACGAUUCUUUACAAAUCAUUUUAGGAAAUUACUACUGAUCACUAGCUUUUGAUUCCAUCUCCUUCUAAAUUGCUAAGACAAAUUUGUUUCCACCUUUAAAUAGUUAGUAACCACUGUGCAUAUUUAUCUAACCUUAAGGUUGCUACUGCAUCCAACCAGAUAUUGUUACCCACCACCAUAGUUUUCUUACACCCACAUUUACCUUUUAACAACCUACUUGACCGGUAUGCAUAUAUCUAACGUGGCCAUCUUGAAAGACGUUGGAUCGCUUUGGAUUUUAAAGCAACAGUUAGUUGGAAUAACGAAAGAAUUUGAGGUACCUUACCAUAGUUGCAACAUAGGCGAGUCCGAUUGUAAUUAUUGUGAAUAUAGUCCUUUCUUUUACAACGCGUUAAAUAUGUUUAUAUAUUUUGUAAAAAGUCAAGCAAUGAGAUGAAGGGAACGAUUAUUGUUUUCACCAUAUCAGGUAUCUCAAAUAUUUUUCAUGUUCUGUGUGCCUUCUAGAGGUGCACGGUGAUGGGUGAAAAGAGGAAAAUGAAAAAACAUAAAAACAAAAUUAUAAGUUCCUUUAAUGAGGGGUCGUUUUGGUUCGAUAUGUGUUGGAAAUUUUUUUUGGGUGCCAACUGUCGCUAUCUCCGACUUCAAAAAUUGUCUUGUAAUAUUAAUAUAGGCCCCAAGCCCCCAACCACUUUGCCUCUGUGAUUAAGAACCUCAUUCUUUGCCUUUUAGCUAACCCACCGCUGCUGUAAAAGUCAAUGAUUUUGUUUAUUUUUUUGUGUCAACUGAAUUGAAAGCUUUGUCCACUUUUAGCAAAGUCCCAUAAUGGGUUCAACUACGUUACGGCAGUGGCACGUAUCAUUUCUUUUUGUCUUCUGUGACAAGUUUUCAUAUAACCUCUUCUACUCAUUUUUAUUUAAUAUUUAUUCUAUAAGUAUUAAGUUAAUUUCUAUCUACACUUACAGCUACAUUUCGGUCAGCUCUUUAUACUAUUUUAUAUUUAUAGAUUUUUUGUUCAAUGUUGCACAUGUAUCACAAUGCCCCCUCUUUAUUAUUUUGAAGUUAAAUCAUUGACAUGUUUAAUUUAAAACCUUACACUCCUUUUUAAUUAUAAUUUUUUUUAAUUAUUAGGGUAGUUUUUUACAUUUGCUAUCACUUAUAUACUCUUUUUAUUUUGAAUUUUUUUUAUAGAUAUUAUGAUACUUUUUUCUUGUAUUCAUAACAAAUUAUAUAAUCCCAAUAGUUCUAUUACAAAAGUAUUAUAUUUUUUCACACUCUUAUUUUUAUUAUGUUAUUUAAUUCAAUUAUUUUUAUAUUAUGGGUGCAUUUAUAAUUGUUUUUUGCUAUAUUCGACCUCUAGACUCGUGAUUUUGUUAGUAAUCACCUGCUGUUUACUGUUAUAUUUUCAAUUAGACCAAUAAUAUUUUCUAGGUUUUGUAUGGUUUAUUAUGUAGUUUUUCAUAUAAUCAUAUACUUGUUUUACCUUGGUCUGGAUUUGGAGAUUUUGCAAUAUUUAUGGACACAUGGCGCAUUGUAAGUGGCUAUAGAUUUUAGAACUUACAAGAUAUAUUAACUAAUAUUAUUUAAAUUUAUUAAUAAAAGAAACUUAAGUAAUUAGUAGAUAUAAUUAUUAUUAUUAGAAAAUUUUAAUUUAUUAUAAUUUAAUUUGAUCAUCAACUACUAACCGUAUUAUGCAAACAAUGGGGCAAAUCUUAGUGUUAGCAUUAUUAUAAUUAUUACUGUUAACUACAAUUUUAUGUGAACUUGAGUAGCUAGAAAAUAUAAAUAAGAAUUAGUUUGUAUUUCUCCUUUCUUUUGAUUGGUGAUUUAUUUCUACUUUCUCACUAGUAAUAUGCCAGAUAGAAGAAUAAUUAAGAAUUGCAGAUUCACAAGGGUUGGAAUUAGCAUUGAUUUUGUAAUGAAUUUUUAUGAUUAAUUUGAUUGUCUAUAUAUAAAGCAUAGACAUGCGGUUGCAUAGUUAUAGUGGUUUAUUUAAGCAAGGAAAAAUUAAUAGGCCAGUGGAUUUGGUAUUAAUUGGUUGAAGUAUGUAUGUAUACAUAUCCCAUCUUUUCAAUGUCACCACUACCUGUUUUUUCUCCUUUAAUUUGACAUUAUAUUAUUAAUUUUUUUUUUAACUAUCUAUGAAGGAUAAGAAAUUUUACUAAAUUAUAGUUCAAUAUAGCCUAAUGAGAAAAAAAAUAAGGCAAUACAACCUAAUACAACAAAUAAUGACGAACUAAAUGCACCCAUAAGAUAAGAAUACUUAAAUUAAAUAAAAUGAUAAAAACAACAGUACAAAAGAAAUUACAAUAUUUUUUGUAAUAGAACUAUUAGGAUUACAUAAUUUGCUAUGCAUGUAAGUAAAAAGUACUAUAAUAUUUAUUAAAAAAAAAUUGUAAUAUAAAGAGUGUAAAGUAUUAAAUGAAAUUUGAGAGUAGAUUUAAAAAAAUCCUAAUACUUAAAAAAAAUGUUUAAGGUUCUAAAGUAAACAUGUCAAUUAUUUAAUUUCAAAAUAGUAAAGAAGGGGUAUUGUGAUACAAGUAUAAUAUAGAAUAAAAAUUCAUAAAUAUUAAAUAUGUAAGGUGCUAAUUGAAAUGUGUAUGUGAAUGUAGGUAGAAAUUAACUUCAUAUUUAUGAAUCAAAGUUUAAAUACAAAUGUGUGGAAGGGGUUAUACGAAAAUUUAUAAUGUACCGCCACAAAAGACAAAAAUAAAUGGUAUGGUACUACUAAUGCAACAUAGCUGAACCCUAAUUUUAAAAAAAAGUAUUAAAAAUUGUGACUAAUUUUAGUUUACACCAGCUGGAAUUUGUAGAAGCAAAUGCCAAUCAUGCCUGGUGUGCAAUUAAUAAUGUGGGCGAAGACAAUUUGGGAGCUUGGAACUCUCCAAACUCCAAUGAGAUAAUAAAAUACGUUAGUUAAUAAAACUAACUAGCAAGUAGCAAGCACACAUUAUCAUUUUAUUUUGUAUAUGAAAAUUUGACACUCUUUAACAUUGUGUUUUUUCGUUUAUGUUUAUUAUGAGCUCGACUUUUUGUUCAUGAAAAUUUGACAUUCUUUAACUUUGGCGGGUUGGUAAGUGUAUAACGAGCUACACUUAUUUAUUUAUUUGGAAAAAAGACACAUAUUUACAUUUGAGAAAAUAAUCAUAAAGACAUCUAAAUUUUUAAAAAGGGACUCCAAAUCUCCUUUUUAAUUAUAAUAUCCUUUGGUUUAUAAUUGAAAAGUUGACUUUAAAAUUUUUUAAUUAAUACAAAUUUAAUAUAUGUAAUAUAAUCUAUCUAGUAGACUAAUAAUAUUAAAUUAUUUUUAACAUUUAAUAUAAUAUUAAAAAUUUAAAUUAUUACAUUUAUUUUAAUAAUACAUUUUUAUUUAUUAUAAAGAUUUAAAAAAUCUCUGUAUUAAAUAUAUUUUGCAAUUAACAGAAUAUAUCCAUGUUAAUAAUAAUAAUAUUAUUAUUUUUUCAUAAUAUUCGAAAUAAUUUUAAUCUUUUAUUCUAAUAUUAUGUUUCUAUCUAUUAUUAAAAAUUACUUUAAUUAUAAUAUAAUUGGUCUAAUAUAUUGUAAAAUAUUAAAAUUAUUUUAAAAUGUCGAUAUUAUUACAUUUAUUUUAAUGCCACAUUUCUAUUUAUUAUAAAAUUUUAAGGUCAAUUAUUUUGGGUUUAUAAAGUCAAAGGGUAUUAUUAUAAAAAAAAAGCCUUGAUGUCCCUUAUUAAAAACUUGAGGUUCUUGUAAUCAUUUUCCAAAACUAUGGAGGUGUAUGUGUCCUUUGUUGUAUUUAUUUUUAUGAAAAUUAAAGUUUUUUUUUUAAAAAAAAGAAUCCAAUGAAUUCAAUCUUCAAAGAGUGUGAGAAUCAAAAGCUUAUUCUACGGUUAUUGCUAAAUAUGAUAGAAGAUAAUUGACGUAGUUGUUAUCUAGUACUAUGUCAAUCCCAGAUUGAAUUUGGUUUAAUAUUCUCCAAGAGUGAUAGUGUAUGCAAAUGUUUCAUUUUAAAUUUUCUUUAUUUAAUCUAAUGGCAAAUAAAAUUUUCUCCCAUCCGUAUUAACAGAUUCGAACAAAUAUUUUGUUUUUAGUUCAAGAAAUUUUACCAAUUAUAUAUGUUAGUAAUUAAUAUAAGAAGAAUUACUAAUUUACAAGUUGUGUUAAGUUUUUGGACUGAGAAAACUAAGGUAGUAUUUGUUCUUUUAUCUAAAAUCUGGAUGGAUUUGAAUAUAAUUGAAGUCUGAAUGGAUCUGAAUUCAUGUGUAAGAAUAAUAUGCUUGUUUUUUUUAUUUUUUGACAUCAAAUGUAGCAGUAAGUUAUUUAUUUUUAUAAACUCAAAAUAUCUUAAAUAUAAUAUUUUUAUACUUAUGAUCUUGAAAGUGUUAUGUAUACUUGAAAUUUUUAAUAGGUAUAUAUAUACAGUGUUUUCUUAACUAAAUAAGUUCAUGCAAUUGAUUGUUGUUAUUAUCGAAUAAUCAUUUUUAGGUUGCCUUUAUUAGUUUAACACAAUGCUACUUUGUCAAAAAAAAAAAGUUACCAUUAUUAUUAAUAGGUCGGCGGCGAUCAUUUUUUUGUUUUUUAGCUCACUGAUAAUUGACAUGGAAUAAGAUGUUUUAGAUAUAUACGAUAUAUUUUACAUAAUCACACGUACUCGUACCUUUUAAAAUACUUAUCAUAAUGUCAAAUAUUUUUAUAUUAUUAUGAAUUGUUGAAAAAUUAUUUUAGAACAAUAUAAAAAUAUCUGUAUACAUGGUAGUCAAACAACAAUUUGAGCAUUGCUAUUAUUUUCCGAAAAUAUAGCUAAGUUUUCUGAAUGAAUAGUGUCCCUUGGAUUCGGUUGGAUUUGAUGCCGUACGACAGAAUUGCUGUGGCCGGAGGGUAAUGUAGUCGCACUGGGCAAACAAUAAUUGACAUUUCACAUUCGGCUAUUUAUGAUGUAGGCCCAACUAUAUGUGUCCAACUUUGGAGGCUGGUAGGUAUAUGAUAUAUCCAAUUAAUAAGCUCCGCUUAUUUAUUUAUUUUUAUAAAAAUUCAAAUUUUUUUCCCCUAAAAAUAUCCGAUGGAUUCAUUCUUCGAGGAGUGUGCUAAAUAUACAAGGGAGCUUGCUAACUUACAGAUUCUGUAAGUUACAGCUCACUCACAAAUUUGAUUGUGGUUCCCACUCGGGCCCACAGCCAAUACUAUUUAACACUAUUCAUGUGAGGGUUGUUACUUACAGAAUCUGUAAGUUAGCCCUUUCCAUAUACAAGAUGAUAGUUGGUAGUUAUUGUCUAGUAAUAGAUCCCAGAUUGAAUUUGAUUUAAAAUCCAGGAGCAUCGCUCCCGCAAAUGUUUCAUUUUAAAUUUUCUUUGUUUAAUCCAAUGGCAAAUAAAUUUUUCUCCCAUCCGUAUUAACGGUUCGAACAAAUAAUUUUAUUUUCAGUUCAAGAAAUUUUAUCAAUUAUGUUAAUAAUUAGUACUCACAUAAUUAUUGUUGGGAAGUUUAUGGAUAAAACAAAUAUGUAACUAAAGUGAAAUUGAGAAAUAAUGAAACACAAAAUCACACAGGUACAUCAUAAAUGACGUGAUUCUGCUUUUAGUCUACGUUCACGGGCGAAAAUAGAUGAAAAAUAUUUUACUAAUGAAAAUGAGUUAUAAAUAUUGUAAUAUUUUAGCUCAUUUCCCAAAACUUCAAUACGCCCAAACUCUCAAAUAAUUAAACUCUUCUCAAAAUGAAUUUGAAGAGGAAGAGAAAAACUUGAUGCUGAGGACAGAAAUAAAGCCCUCUAUUUAUAGCUUCAUUUUGUGCCCUUUUUCAAUUAAAAUAAUUAUUAUAUUAUUAUAUUAUUUUUUUCUUCGCCCUGAACACUGCGGCACCUCUUUUUCUUCCUUUCUUUUUUUUUUUUCUUUUGUUCCAGUCAAAGAAGAAAGCCACUCCUUCUUCAAAAUGGGCGGGCUCGACUUCUAGAAGGGUGGUGCCCGCAUGCCAUUUUUGUCAUUCUCCCACUUGGAGAUUUGAUUGCGAGACAAUCAUAUCUCCACACUAUCAUUUUUGUUUCGCCAUUGUCAUUGCUUACGUCUCUGCUAGGCCACAAGAUGACCUACUCUAGAUAAACUUGUUUGUAUUGAUCGACUUGAUCAAAACAUCUGUCAGGUUCUCCUUAGUAUGGAUUUUCUGCAAAUCCACACUUUCAUCUUCCACUAUUUCACGAAAGAAAUGAUAUUGUACCCCUAUGUGCUUUGUCUUGGAAUGAAAGAUUGGAUUCCUUGCAAUAUGCAAGGCACUUUGACUGUCACAAAACACAGAAAUUUUCUGUUGUUUGUGCCCGAGCUCCUUCAAUAAAUUUUGUAUCCAAAUAGCUUCCUUACAAGCUUGUGUAGCUGCCAUGUACUCUGCUUCUGUUGUAGAUAGAGCCACAACGGUCUGCAGUUUCAAAACCUAGCUUACAACUCCUUCUGCAAGUGUAAACAUAUAGCCAGUAGUUGAUUUUCUUUUAUCAAGAUCUUCUGCAAAAUCUUAAUCUACAUAGCCCCUAAUAGUAAACUCUGAUCUUCCAUAACAUAAUACAACAUCUGAGGUUCCUCUAAUAUAUCUUAAAAUCCUCUUCACAACUAUCUAAUGCUCUUUACCAGGAUUCGCCAUGUAUCGACUGAUUGCUCCCACUGCUUGUGCAAUGUCUGGUCUAGUAUAUAUUAUAGCGAACAUCAAACUUCCCACUGCUGAUGCAUAUGGUACUCGAAACACUUCCUUCCUCUCUGUUUCGUUGCUAGGACACAUACUUGAGGAAAAUUUGAAAUUAAUAGGAAGUGGGGUAGAAAUUGACUCACAAUCUUGCAUGUUGAAGCGUCGUAAGAUUUUCUUCAAGUAAUUCUUUUGAGAAAGCCAAAUCUUCUUGUUAUUUCUGUCUUGGUGAAUUUGCAUCCCUAGAAUCUUAUUUUUUGGUCCCAAGUCCUUCAUUUCAAACUCCCUAGCCAAUUGUGCCUUCAAUUCUUGGAUUCGAUCUUUGUUGGGGCCUGCAACCAGCAUGCCAUCCACGUACAACAACAAAAUAAUGAAAUCAUUAUUUUCAAAUCACCUGUAACAUGUACAAUGGCCUGAACUGAGUCUGUUGUAUCCAAGGCUCAUGAUGAAGGAAUCAAAUCUCUUAUACCAACAGCUCGGUGCCUGUUUGAGACCGUAUAGAGAUUUGUUCAACCUGCAAACCAAGUUCUCUUUUCGUUUUUCAGCAAAACCUUCUGGUUGGAGCAUAUAAAUUUCUUCUUCAAGUUUUCCAUGAAGAAACACAGUUUUCACAUUGAACUACUCUAGAUGUAGGUCAAAUGUAGCACACAUCGCCAAGACUACUAUGAUUGUUGUAAGUUGAACCACCGAGAAAAAUAUCUCGUUGAAGUCAAUACAUUCUCUCUAAGCAUAUCCUUUCACUACUAAUCUUGCACGAUAUCGCUCCACUUAGUCAUUGCCAUCACACUUGAUCUUGUAGACCCAUUUGUUUCUAAUGACUUUUCUUCCACGUGGUUGUGGUACAAGUUCCCAUGUCUUAUUCUUGUGUAGAGCUUCAAUUUCUUCAUGCAUUGCUGCCAUCCACAAAGUAACAUCUGAGCUGUUUAAAGUUUCAUGGAAAGUUGAUGGCUCUCCAUCCACUAUUAAAAGACAAUAUGCAACAUUGAUCUAUGUGACAUAACCUGAGUGCCACACUGGCGGUCGUCUCUCACAAGUUAAUCGACAAACUUCUAGAGCCUCGGACUCGAUUGGUUCUUGUUCCUCAUGCUCUGGUGCUGCUUCAGAAGAAUCUGAAUCUUCUGGAUUAUUUUCCACAUAUAUCGGCACAGUCUCUGACUUUUCUUUUACAGUGUUAUCAUCCAUAUCUCUCAUUUGCAGUUAAUCUUUUUCAAAAAUAACAUCUCUACUGAUGACGAUCUUGUGAGCAGUGGAGUCCCACAGACGAUAACCCUUUACUCCAUCAGCAUAUCCCAAGAAUAUGCAUCUUCUAGAUUUUGGAUCCAGCUUUACUCUUUCUUGUGCAUUGUACAUCACGUACAGGACAUCCGAAUGCAUGUAGGUGCGAGUAAUCUGCUGGCUUUCCAGUCCACAUCUCCAUCAGAAUCUUCAACCCAAUUAUCGUGGAUAGCGACCGAUUUACUACAUAAUAGGCAGUUUUGGUUGCUUUUGCCCAGAAUGAAUUAGGUAGACCCACAGUUCUCAACAUAGAUCUUAUUUUUUUUUGUAAGAUUUCUGUUCAUCUGCUUCGUCACUCCAUUUUGUUGAUGAAUGUAUGCCACCGUGAACUACCUCUGAAUACUUUCUUACUUAUAGAAAGUAAGAAACUCACCGUCUGUAUAUUCUCCACCAUUAUCUGUCCUCAAGCACUUUAUCAUCUUCCAAGAUUCAAGUUCUACAUAUGCUUUGUACUGUUUGAACACUGGAAACACAUAUGAUUUUUUUCUUAAUUGGAUACGCCCAACAUCUCCUGGAAUUAUCAUCAAUAAAAAUCACCAAGUACUUUGGACCUCCCAUGGACAUAUCUAGUGAUUCCCAAACAUCAGAAUGAACAAAGUCUAGAAUGCAUUUACUUCUGGCUUCAGAUCUUAUGAAUUUCAAUCUAUACUACUUACUUGUAACACAUUGCUCGGGAAACGGUAAGUUCACCGACUUGAGCUCCGAAAGAAAUUUUUACUCAGAGAGAAUCUUCUAACCUUACUUUGACAUAUGGCCGAGUUUGAGAUGCCACAUCAUCGUUGAUUCUUCUCCAUUCGACGCGACACACGCAUAAGCUUCCUGUGGUGUUUUUUUUUAAAGCAUGAAUAGAUUAGCAACGAUCUUUUCCGCCCUCAUCAAUACAAGCGCGCCUCUUGUAAUCUUCAUGAUCCUAUUUUCAAUAUGGGUUUUGCACCUAUGACUAUCUAUUUGUCCCAAAGACAAUAGAUUAUUCUUCAGGCCUUUGACAUGUCGUACCUCCCCAAUUGUGCUAAUUGUGCCAUCAAACAUUUUUAUUUUAAUAGUACCAAUACCAGUGAUCUCCAAGGCAUGAUCAUCUCCCAUAUAUACAGAUCCUCUUGAGAUAUGUUCAUAUGUGUGGAACCAUUCUCUCCGAGAGGUCAUGUGCCAGGUAGCUCCUGAGUCUAUGACCCAAAUAUCAGAUAACUGUUUUCUACCUUUUGAAACAGUUGUUGCCUCGCCGUAGAGAACUUCGUCAUCAUCCGAGGUACUUGCUACACACCCCUAAGCAUUAGGUUCUUUACCCUUUCUUCUCUUCUGGUUGUUCCAACAUUCCUCUUGACAUGCCAUUUCUUGCCACAAUUAUAGCAUUUAAUAUUCUUCUUACUUCUAGAUUUGGAUUUACCAUGAUUGUGACUCCUACUGGGGCCAUGUGCCGUUGAUCUCCCUCUCGUCACCGAUAGCGCUUCUGCUUAUUGCGAACUUACUUGUUUAUCUUCCUUACUUUUCUACCUGCUCUCCUUAUUUAAUACGGAGGCUGCAACAUCGUCGAAAACUAAACUGUUUGCUGGAUUAUUAUUUGUCAGGUUAAUGAUGAGUUGAUCAUAUGAAUCUGGUAGACUUUGAAGUAAAAGCUCUAAACGUUCAUUUUCCUCUAUUUUAUGACCCAACGUUGUGAGUUGGGAAAAUAGAGUCUUCAAAGUAUUGAUAUGGUCGGCCACCAAUGUAGAUUCCGCCAUUCGAAAAAAUAUAGAGUCUCAUUUUUUAAGAAAAUCUUAUUGUGCGGUGAUAACUCUAUGAAAUGAGAGUUAUUACAUCAAUUCUAAACUUGAAUCAAGAUCACUUAGAGAGCAAAUAAGGCGUUUUUAUUACAUUUUGGUUAUAUUUUGCAUAAACAUUCAUUUUAGUUGAGUCUUAAUAAGUUUUGCUUGAAUCAAAGUAAUUUGUGCUCAAAACAGGUGUAUAAUUAUAGAUUUUUAGAAAUCCUUAAUUCAUAAAUGAAUGCUGAGACAUUAGACUAGCAAGAGGAGGAAAGAAGAUGGCCACAAAAGAAGUAAAGAACAAUCGAGAACAAUGCAGUGUUGUAGCUGUUGUUAGAGCAACUAGUGCUGUGGUAAUCUGGGAGCAUUGAGGGAGAAAACUUAAGCGCGGGUAAGCUGCAGAAUUGCGAUCUGCAUGUUUUCUAAUUUAACUCAUGCAUGCUAGGGGUGGGUAAAAUAACCGAUCCGACCCGAUCCGAUCCGAAAUAAAUCGGGUUCAGAUCGGAUCGGAUUGACCAUAAUACCCGAUCGGAUGAAAUGUUGCCAACCUGAUCGGAUCAUAAUCGGAUCGGGUGAAAUCCGAUCCGAUCCAACAACCCGAACGGGUUGGCUUAAAGAAGAAAGUAAACAACCCUCACUGAUUACAACACACAUGCAUCCAGCAACAAGUAGUCAAGCACCAGUGAUGCCACAGAGCACAGGGCAACAGACCACACGCUACACAGCCUCACACACCACACACGUAUACGGCACACAUCACAGAUAUGGAGGCACAAAACCAGUAAAGAUAGAGGCACAAAAACAGUAGACCACACAUUCAACGCACCCAGCCGCACCCAGCAGCCUCACUCCCCUCCCUCACGCCUCACGGCCUCCCCCUCAAGCCUCAACGAGAGACCACACAGCACACACCAACCUUUGCUCCCCUCCCUCACGCCUCAUGGGUCAUUGCCCCACCCUCAAGUCAACACUCAACACCGCCAACGCCAAGUAGAAACACACACACACACACACACACAGCUGCAACCAACACAUGCUUGUCACAAUCACCGCUGACGCCAACCACCAGUCGAUCUACUGCUCAGCGAGGACCGCGACCAGAUAUGCUGCUCCGCGAGGACCGCGACCAGAUAUGCUGCUCCGCGAGGACCGCGACCAGAUCUGCUGUUACCGCCUACCGAUCUGCUGUCUCCGCGCCUCCACACACUUCAUUACCAAGUUUCUUCUCCAAGUUCCAUUCGUAAUCCAGCAAGCGGCAGCCUGAAUUUUUAUUUUGAGUUUGGAUUUUUGAGUUUAGUUCAAAUACGGACAGUUGUAAUGUGUAAUAUAUUAUAUAACAUAUGUUAAAUCAUUGAUUAGGAAUUGUUAACCGAACCCGAUCCGAACCGAAUUAAACCCAAUUUUUUUAUCCGAUCCGAUUCUAUUCGGAUCGGAUCAGGUCGGGUUGUCAAUUUGGGUUGAAUUCAUAUGAGUUUUUGUUCGACCCGAUCAACCCGAAAUCCGAUCGGGUUGAUCCGAACUCGAUUUUGCCCAGCCCUAAUGCAUGCCACAGACUUUUAUUUACCCUAGUUUGCAGUAUAAAAGGAGGGCGCGCACUACAUAAAAGACGGCAAUGAAUUAACAUUGGAGAAAUCGAGAGAAAAAGAAGAAAACAAUCAGAAUUCAAGAGAACCGAGUCUGCAUCAGUGAAGAAUCCAGCAGAGUUAUUUGGAUUCAAUCUUCAUCGUUCUCUACUUAUUCUUUUCUUUACUCUUUGAUUGAACCGAUGUCUUUCGUGACCAAUAUUUUGCUGUUUGUUUUUCUCAUUUAGAAUAUGAACUAGAUUUGCUUGUAGUUGAGUGACAAACAAUCUAAUGGGUUCUUGACUAUUCUUAUGUGUUGUUAUGUCAUUGUUGUAGCAUUUUAUUCUAGUAGUUAUUAUUAAUAUAACUGUUAUUUCGGUUGACCACCCAUUUAAUAGUUCAAGUUAAGAUAGAGCCGCAAAAGGGCAUGUCUUAGGGGAUAUUAUUAGAGUAUUACUUGAUUUUAAUUUAAGUUUCCUGGAUUAAGUUAUCUUGAAUCCCAUAAGGGCUAUACAUGAAGUUAAGAUUUGUGACACACUAGACAUAGGUGCUCACCUUGUAGGGUGGAGAGACUAAAGGGUCAUAAGGUCAUAUCAUAAGUAGAUUAGUAACUGGUCAUUGUUAAUAUAUUUAAGGGUGUGAGAGUUCCAAUACGCGACAGCUGAGGAUGCAGAUUAAUUAUGCCCAGUGCUGCAGCACUUGCCGUAACAAUUGGUGUUAACUUGAUGAAAAACAGUCAGCCUAUAAGGAGAGUUUGAUCAUUCAACUACCAUAGUCUCAAUUGAAUCUUAGACAUAUUUAAUUUAGUUUAUUUCAUUACAAUAUUGUUUUACUUUAUUCUCUCACAAUCAUCAAUUACGAUAGAACCCACUUUACGUUUAUUAACUUCGAACUUAAGUUAGUUUGCACUAUUGUGAUUGCUAUAGCAUUUUGAGUAACAUCAAUCCUUGUGGAGACGAUUUUGAAUAUUCAUCACUUUAUUACUUAUUGUGUAUACUUGCACAUUGGCAUUAGUAGCAUUUGAUUAUAAAAAUUACUAACAUGCGGCGAUGUGGCCUUGUACAAUUUUGUAAGAGUAUCUCAUAUUUCUUUUGCCGUCUUUUUCUCCUACACACUGGAUAACACCCCAUCUGCAAGUGCCAGGUGUAGAUCAGCAAUGGCAUUGCCGUCCAUCUCAUUCCACUUGUCAUCCUCAGUUAUCUCUAUGAGUCUUUCUCUAAUUAUUGCCAAGCAAUUAUUUUUCCUCAAAAUUGCCUGCAUUUUCAUUUUCCAUAAGGAGAAAUUAUUCUCAUCGAACUUUUCAAUUUUAUAUUUACUGCCAUUUUCUUACUAAAUACAGCACACAAGCUAGUGUACCACCCUGAAUAGUUAUGAGUAUGUGUGAAAAUGCACACCAGAAAAGUUCUCAAGAAAGACUGGAGUGGUCACAAUGGUCCCACUUAAAACCCAUACUCCUUAGACUCUUAUCGCCUUUGUGACAAAACUUUUCUAGACUUGUACAAAACCAUACAGUUGCUCUACUUACACCACUAUUCCUUGUUUUGCACUGCCAAAAUUAUUGGAUCGCUUCCAUCGUUUCUCAUUAAUAGUAUCAUAUAUAUAAAUAGUACCAUAUACAUGAAUAGCACCGUAUACGUGAACAAUACCCUUUACGUGAACAGUACCCCGACUCUAAAAAAUACAACCAAUAGCUCUGAAACCACUGUUGGGAAGUUUAUGGGUGAAGCAAAUACGCAACUAAAGUGAAAUUGAGAAAUAAUGAAACACAAAAUCGCACAAGGAUACCAGAAAUUACGUAGUUCGGCUUUUAAUCUACGUCAACGGGCGAAGACAGAAGGAAAAUAUUUUACUAGUGAAAAGGAGUUACAAGUACUGUAGUAUUUUAGAUCAUUUCUCAAAACCCUAAUACACCCAAACCUAAAAUCACUAAACUCUUUUCAAAAUGGAUAUGAAGAGGAAGAGAAAAACUUGAUGUUUAGGACGGAAAAGAAGCCCUCUAUUUAUAACUUCAUUUCUUAUCCUCUUUUCAAUUAAAAUAAUUAUAUUAUUAUUAUAUUUUUUUUCUUCGCCCUGAGCGGUGCGACACCUCUUUUUUUUCCUUUCCAUUUUUUUUUCUUUUAUUCCAAGAAGCAACGCCUCCUUCCUCAAAAUGGACGGGCCCACCUUCUAGAAUGGUCGUGCCCGCAUGCCAUUUUUUGUCAAUUAUUUGAUUUUUUUUAUUUCUUCGGUUCUUAUCGGUUGAACUAAUUUACAUGAUGAGUAGUGCAAUGUGUCCAUAUAUUACAUAUGAGUGGUAAUUUAUCACAAAUACAGUGACAUUUCAUCCAGGAGUGGCUGUCCUUGUUGAUAAAUUGAAAUUAGCGCAAACCUUGAGGACAGACAUGAAAAAAUGAGAACACGAGCAUGAUUGGUGAUGAGAUAUAAUAUAGCUGAACCCCUGCCUUGACUGAUUCAAUACAAAGGGAGGAAAAAAGAAGGAAAACAGGAGCAAGCAAAUAAGAAAGAAGCAAAUUAUAAUCAUGGCUUCUACAGCUGAUCAGGAAGAAGAGACAAAUAAUUUUUCAUAUGCAAUGGAACUGGCAAGUGCCAUAGUGCUACCUGCAGCUAUGCAAGCAGCGGUAGAGCUUGAUGUGUUUGAGAUCAUAAGCAAAGCUGGUCCCGGUGCUAAGCUUUCGGUUUCGGAAAUUGUGGCUCAAAUUCCCUUAAAAGGUAAUAAUCCUGAAACUGCAGCCAUGACGUUGGAGCGGGUGCUGAGGCUGCUUGUCAGCUACAAUGCUCUUCAUUGCUCUUUUGUUGAUGGACAAAGGCUCUACUCUCUUGCUCCUGUUUCUGCAUACUUCGUUCGCAAUAAUCAAAACGGCGCGUCGUUGCGUCCCUACAUGGCCUGGUGUCUUGACAAGGUCCUCAUGGAUGGCUGGUAUAUAGAAUUACUUUUUCUCUUUUCUUUUCUUUGCUAAUUUUAGUAAAUUAAGGAAAAUUAUCAAAACCUUCUAGUUGUAUAUAUCCAAAAAUUAAUCAUUUGUAUCACAUGUUUUGAACCCAUCAAAAUCCGUCAGCUGCUAAAAAGACAGCUAUCUUCAAUUAUUUUAUUUUGUUGUGGUAAAAAACAAAAAAAAAAGCUUAAAGUCCAAGCGUUUUUGAAAUAUGAAAGUAGAAAGGAUUGAUUGUAACAAACAAUUAAUAAAGUAUUCUUUAUCUUGGUUAAUUAUGCGGUCUAAUUUUACAAACUAAGCUUCUAAAAUUGUUACUAACUGUGUUUGGAUUUUGGAAAAUUCAGGUUUCGGUUGAAAGAGCAAAUUCUUGAAGGAGGAAUGGCGUUUAAUAAAGUGCACGGAAUGGAUAUGUACGAUUACAUGGGCGUUGACUCAAGAUUCAAUGAUGUUUUCAACAAUGGAAUGUCAAGCCACACUUCUGUCGUCAUGGAGAAGGUCCUAGAAUCAUACAAAGGCUUUGAGCAUGUUAAGAAGCUUGUUGAUGUUGGCGGCGGCUUAGGAGCUACUCUUAACAUGAUAAUUUCUAAAUACCCUCAUAUUAAGGGUAUUAAUUAUGAUUUACCUUAUGUUAUUAAAAAUGCCCCAUCUUAUCCUGGUAUGUUACUUACAAAAUUUAUAAAGUAUUUUUGUUAAUGAUUCAUUGAGAUACACGAUAGCUAACAAUUUUUUUUUUUUUUUUUUUUAAUUUCAGGCAUUGAACAUGUAGGUGGAGACUUGUUUGAAAGUGUUCCUGAGGCAGAUACCAUUUUCAUGAAGGUUAUAUGUGUGUGUUAUUUGAAAUCAUCGUUAUAAGGAAAAAUCAAAAAUUGAUAUAGGGUGAAUCACACUUUUUCCCCUAAUAUUUUGUGGGUUGACUUUGGCCCGUUACUCAUUUGGUAUUAAAAUUUUCACAAAAACACUUAAAGGGAAUACCAAAUAUUAUGAAAACAGUAAAAAAAAAAAGGGGGGGGGGGGGGGGGGGGUGUAAAACUGUCUCUCUCUUUCUUUUUCUCUAGUUGUAAAGGGGUGGCCAAAGCCCAAAUUGAUUAUUUAAAAACCACUGGACUAGCUCCUGAUGCAAAGUGUCAAUCUUUCUGGAUUAUAUACCUACGUUUUGUUCAAUAAUAUAAAUUGAUCAUAGAUAUUCAGAUUAAUAGAUCUAAUGAGAAUUAACAUGAAUAUUAAACUUUUGCAGUGGGUCCUUAAUGGUUUUGAUGAUGAGCAGUCCUUGAAAUUGUUGAAAAAUUGUUACAAAGCUCUUCCGGAUGGUGGGAAGUUGCUUAAUGUUAAUGCAGCAUUUCCAGAAGUGCCUGAGAAUAGCGCGACUUCAAGGGAGAUCUCCCUCUUGGAUACAAUUUGUUUAAUCCAAGUUCCUCAUGGAAGAGAGCGGACCAAACAAGAAUACAGUGACUUAGCAAUCAAAGCUGGAUUUAAAGGCGUCAACUACGAAUAUGGUGCAUGCAAUUUAUAUGUUAUGGAAUUCCUCAAAUAAUAAAUUGCUUUACUUGUACUAGGAAAGGUCUUCUCAACUCUCUUUGGGGAGUUACAAUUUCUGGUUUGUGUUAAUUUUUCUCUUAUGUACUCUUUUUCAUCCUAUAAGCAUCUGUCUCUUUAAGGGAGAUUGACUGCCUUGUAAGGUAGCUCUUAUGUAAUAUUUUCCAUUUUUAUUUUUACUGUUGCAGCAUGUGAUACCUUUUUUUUAUCGAGGAAAAAAAUAGUGUAUUCAUCUUACAUUGUUAUUUUUUUCUUUUUUAAGUUAUUGCAAAGUUAUGUUGUGCAAAAAUCAGCAAUAUAUAAUUAAUAAUUUAAUGUAAUAAAGUUUGAUUUUUGAACGUAGUAAAAUAUACAGUAACUGAAUCGAAUAAAAUCUGAAAAAAUAUUGAAAAUGGAUUAUAGAGAUAUUAAUUUUUCAUUAAACAACUACUGAGAGCUAAUGAUGUAGGGCGUUAUUUUAAAAAUUUUAAGAUUUUAGAAUUUAUUAUUUUAGAACUUUAUAUUUUAAUUAGAGUAAUUUUGGUAUUUUAUUAAUUUACUACUUUCUAUUUUCAUUAGAGUCAAUUAAGUUAUGAGAUUUAGUUAACUUAGGAAAAUACCUUUUUAUUUCCAUUAUAAUUAUGAUUUAGUUUCCUAUUUUUAAGUUAACUUAGGGAAAAUAUAUUUUAUUUUUAUUAUAAUUAUGAUUUAUUUUUUCUUUUUGAGUUAGCUUAAAAGAGUGAGUUUCUCUAUUAUAAAUAGAGAGAUCUUAUCAUUAUUCUAUAAACUUUUAUUCCAAAAUUUAUUUACUCUAUCCUCUUUACAAUUCCUCUUCGUCAACUAAUAUAGAUCAAAGGGGUUAAAAAAAAAAGGUAGAAGUCUUUCGAAACAAGUGACAGAUGACAACACAAUCAGAAUAGAAGUAAAUAACAUAAGUUAGCACUGGCAAAAGGAUUUCCAGCGUUUCGUCUAAGGCACAAUAGACCCAACGGUUGAUAGAACAAAACAAAUAGUUGAUUUUUGUAAUUAUUGUGAAUAUAGUCUUUUGUUUUACAACGCAUUAAAUAUGUUUAUAUAUUUUUUGUAAAAGUCAAGCAAUGAGAUGUAGAGAACGAUUAUUGUUUUCACCAUAUCGAGUACCUCAAAGAUUAUCUCAAAUAUUUUUCAUGUUCUGUCUGCCUUCUAGAGGUGCACAGUGAUGGGUGAAAAGAGGAAAAUGAAAAAAGAUUUAAAAAAAAAUUAUAACUUCCUUUAAUGCGGGGUCGUUUUGGUUCGAUGUGUGUUGAAAAUUUUUUCGGGUGCUAGCUGUCGCUAUCUCCGACUUCAAAAAUCUUGUCUUAAAAUAUUAAUAUAGGCCCCAAGCCUAGGGAUGGCAAUGGGCACCGUCCGCAGCGGGUUUGCCAUUACUAAACCCAAACCCGCACAAAAUUUAAAUUACCAAACCCACCAGCAACCCGCAACGGAUUUUAAUUUUUUUUUAAAAACCCACCCGCAGCGGGUUUUAACAAUUACCAAACCCGCAAUGGUACCCGACGGAUUUUUUGCGGGUUUCCGUAUUUAAAAUCACAAAUGUUUAAUAUAUAAAUUUAUAAUAAUAACCUCAAAUUCCAUAUAACACACUCAAUUUUAUAUUUAAACAAUGUAAAUGAAAAAUUAAAAUUUCCACAUUAAUCCAACACAAAUUCUUAAAUUUAAGUAUAAAUUACACAAAUUCAUUUAAAAAACACAAACUAGUAUCUAAAAAUAAUAAUUACAUUUCAUAUUAUCAUUUAAAACAAGCUCCAAGAGAAGAUAUUCAUUUCAUUCACUACUAUAAGCACCCAUCCAACACAAUGCCUAUAAUAAUAAUUAAGAUUAAUAUUUUUAAAUACUAAUUCGAAGGAAAAUGCCUUUAGUUUUCUUUAGGUUAUGACUUUAGAAUGAGAGAUGGGCCACAUACACGCAUACACAACUUUGAACAUUUGGCUAUUUGGUAAUUUGAAUAAUGACAUUAUUUUCUUUAUAUAUUUUUAGAUUAAAAUUAAAUUAAAAAUAUUUGGAAAAAAUAUUACGGGUUUGGUGGAUAUCCAUGCGGGUAUCCACCGGAUAUAAGGUUAAUACCAAACCCACCCGCAUCCAUGUGCGGGUUUUAGUUUAUAAUACUAAACCCGCCCGCAACGGAUAAAAUUACCCGCAGCGGGCGGGUUUUGGCGGGUGGGUUUGGACGGAUUUACGGGUUUGCGGGUAUAAUUGCCAUCCCUACCCAAGCCCCCAUCCACUUUGCCUCUGUGAUUAAGAACCUCAUUCUUUGUCUUUUAGCUAACCCACCGCUGCUUUAUAAGUCGAUAAUUUUGUUUUUUGUUUUUCUUUUUUGUGUCAACUCAAUUGAAAGCUCUGCCCACUUGUAGAAAAAUCCCAUAAUGGGUUCCACUAGGUUACAGCAGUGGCACGUAUAAUUUCUUUUUGUCUUCUGUGACAUAUUUUCAUGUAACCCCUCUUAUUUAUUUUUAUUUAAUAUUUAUUCCAUAAGUAUUAAGUUAAUUUCUACCUACACUUACAGCUACAUUUCGGUUAGCUCUUUAUACUAUUUUAUAUUUACAGAUAUUUUGUUCAAUGUUGCACAUGUAUCACAAUGCCCCCUCUUUAUUAUUUUGAAGUUAAAUCAUUGACAUGUUUAAUUUAAAACCUUACACUCCUUUUUAAUCAUAAUCUUUUUAAAUAUUAGGGUUUUUUUUUUACAUUUACUACCAAAUUUCAUUUAACACCUUACAUUCUUUUUAUUUCGAUUUUUUUUUAUAAAUAUUAUGAUAAUUUUUUCUUGUAUUCAUAACAAAUUAUAUCAUCUCAAUAGUUCUAUUACAAAAAGUAUUAUAGUUUUUCACACUCUUAUUUUUAUUAUGUUAUUUAAUUCAAGUAUUUUUAUAUUAUGGGUGCAUUUAUAAGUUAUAACUACUUUUUCCUUUAUUUUCAUCAUUAGACUUAUAACUGUUUUUUGCUAUAUUCAACCUCUAGACUUGUGAUUUUGUUAGUAAUCAUGUGUUGUUUACUGUUAUAUUUUUUAUUAGACCAAUAAUAUUUUCUAGGUUUUGUAUGGUUUAUCAUGUAAUUUUACAUGUAACCAUAUACUUGUUUUACCUUGGUCUGGAUUUGGGGAUUUUGCAAUAUUUAUGGACACAUGGUGCAUUGUAAGUGGCUAUAGAUUUUAGCACUUACAAGAUAUAUUAACUAAUAUUAUUUAAACUUAUUAAUAAAAGAAAUUUAAGUAAUUAAUAGAUAUAAUUAUUAUUAUUAGAAAAUUUUAAUUUAUUAUAAUUUAAUUUGAUCAUCAACUACUGUAUCAAUUUGGCAACCGUAUUAAGCAAACAAUGAGGCAAAUCUUAGUGUUACUUUAUUAUAAUUGUUAAUGUUAACUACAAUUUUAUGUGAACCUGAGUAGCUAGAAAAUAUAAAUAUGAAUUAGUUUGUAAUAGAACUAUUAGGAUUACAUAAUUUGCUAAGCAUGUAAGUAAAAAGUACUAUAAUAUUUAUUAAAAAAUUUGUAAUAUAAAGAGUGUAUAGUAUUAAAUGAAAUUUUAUAGUGGAUUUAAAAAAAUCCUAAUACUUAAAAAAAAAAAGAGUUUAAGGUUCUAAAGUAAACAUGUCAAUUAUUUAAUAUCAAAACAGUAAAGAAGGGGUAUUGUUAUACAUGUGUAAUAUAGAAUAAAAAUUUAUAAAUAUUAAAUAUGUAAGGUGCUAAUUGAAAUGUGUCUAUGGAUGCAGGUAGAAAUUAACUUCGUAUUUAUGAAGUAAAUGUUAAAUAAAAAUGAGUGGAAGGGGUCAUAUGAAAUAUUACAGUGUACCGCCACAAAAGACAAAAUAAGUUCCACGGUACUCCUUAUGUAACAUAGCUGAACCCUACUUUUAAAAAGUAUUAAAAAUUGUAACUAAUUUUAGUUUACGCCAGCUGGAAUUUGUAGAAGCGAAUUCCAAUCAUGCCUGGUGUGCAAUUAAUAACAUGUGGGCGAAGACAAUUUGGGAGCUUGGAACUCUCCAAACUCCAAUGAGAUAAUAAAAUAUGUUAGUUAAUCAGGCUUUUUAAAUUUGAAUAGCAACAUCAAGUAUGUACAAAUGAAAGAAAUUUGCUGAGGGGGCUCCAGUAAGACGGAUGUGAUAGCUAAGUCCUCAUAAUUCAAUUAAAAAUUUCUAAUUUUACUGAAAUGAAUCAAUUAGUUGUUUAAAUAACAUGGAGUUUUAUAAUUGGGAUAAAUUAAUGAUACUAGUAAGCAUCUUUUGGUGAGAUGUCAUUUUUGAAAUUGCUCAAUCAUUAAUUCGGACAUCAUUGAUGGGGCUUGAGAAUGAGAUUUUAGCCUCUCUUAAAAAUUAUAUAUCACCACUUGAGUUAUUAAUAAAUUUUUUAUAACUCAUUUAAUUUUUUAUAUAAAAAUAAUACAAUAUUUAAAAAAAAAACAUAAUUGAAGUGUUAAUGUAAAUUCUUGACAAACAAAACAAUCUAGUUUUAAUUUGUGGAUAGGGUUUUCAUAUUCAGUUGCGGACCUAAAAAUUUUUUAAAACCCUUUGAGUUUUUUUUUUGUUUUUUAAAUUUUCCUAUAAUAAUAUAUAUAUUUUUUUAUUUUUUUAUAUAUGUCCCCAAUUUAAUUUUUUUUAAGAUUAGUGUUAGAGACUUAUUUUAUAAAUAAUUAAAUUAUUUGUCUUGAAUGAAUUGAAAGGUUAAAAUAUCAUUACCACUUUAACUUACAAAAAUGGUUAUUAUUUGGUCUAAUUGAAAGAAAAAUAUGCAUUAAAAAAUUGCCACUGUUUUUGAAAACUUAGAAAAUGUCAUAUAUUAACAACUAGCAAUAUUUUCAUAAUUUCAUGGUUUAUUUCCUUCACAAUCAUACCUUCGCUUUUUCUUUUCAUUAGAUCAAAUUAUUUAAAUAUGUUACCUUCUCUAUUAAAUGAUUAACAAUGAAUUUCAUAAAUAUUUUUAUAGCACAAUUUUAGUAAUUUAUAAUAUAAGCUUAUUUGUUGUACUGUUGCUGUUUAUUUCAUCAAGUAUAUGUAUUUUAUUAAGAUUUUUAAUGUUGUGUUACUUUGCAUAGCUCGUUAUAUGAAUUUUUUCACUCUUCUUCAUGUACUAACUGUUAUACAAAUUUUAAUGUACUCGCAAGUAUACAAGUCUACUGGAGCAUAGAUUAAGAAUAACAAGGUUGAACCCAUAGGAUUGUUAAUUUUUUAAAAGAAAAAUCUAAUCUAAGCUAAUUAUAACUCUACCCCAGUUGAGAAGAAACUACUGUGAAAAUAUAAACAAAAAAUACAAGAAAAUUAAAAUCCAGAAAAUUAAUACAAAACUUAAAAGAUUGAAGUUACUAGGAUUGUAGAAUUGAACAAUUCAACUUAAUAAUUUUCUAAUUACCAAUCAAUUUCUAAAUCUAGAGUGACAACAAAAAAUCAAUCUAUAUCUAUUUAUAGAUAUAACAAUUAACUCCAAAUAAAAUUAAUCUUAUAUAAAUUCUUUUUCCGCUUAAUAGUGUAGUAUCUAAGCAUCCCAUGUAAAUAAUAUUGAAUAACAAAGAUUCAAAAUUUUUCUAAGCAUUAUGUAUAAAUAAUUUAAUAAAAUAAAAAAAUAAUCACAUGAACCUUAGAGACCUAAGCAUAGGUUUAGUCAAAUAUUAAUUUUAACAAUAAAUAAUGUAUGACAGAAUUGUAAGAAAAAAUAACACAGUGAGAUAACAAUUUAAACAGUAGUUAAUUUAAACAACAAUGUAAACCAACAAUCGAAAACAACAAAUGAAGAAUAGAAGAGUAACCGAAACAGAAUUCAAUAUAUGCAAUUAAAUAGUUAAUCUUACUCAUGCAUGGUUAAGUGUUAAUAUAUAAACACUAAUCCCUAGGCUUAUUUUUCCCAUGUGGGAUAAGCCUCAUUUCCUUUCAAAUUUCCAACUUCAAGGGUGAACUUUGAGAGACAAUUUCUCAUUCACCCAAGCACCAUUUUGAGAAAAUAAGAUUAUACUUUUAAAGAAUCAACGGAGUAGAAUCCAAACCUCAUAAGAUUUUCCACUUUCAUUAAGUGGGACCCACUCAAAAUGUGCCCUCAAAAUAACAUAUAUACAUGCUAUUUUUUCAACAAGAAUUAGUGAAAAGAUUUAAUAAUAUCUAACUAAACAUAUAAAACAAGAACCAUAGGUAUUAAAGCUCAUAUAUAGAGAAUUAAUUAAAAAAGUAAUUUAUUUUAUUGAGCAGUUAUCAUCACUGACCAUAGUAUAAACACCAGAAAUAAUGCAUGACAGAAUUCCCCUAAAAAUAUCCGAUGGAUUCAUUCUUCAAAGAGUGUGGUCAUUGCUAAAUGUACAAGAUGAUAGUUGGUAGUUGUUGUCUAGUAAUAUGUAGAUCCCAAAUUGAAAUUGAUUUAAAAUCUAGGAGGGAUUAUCGCUCCUGCAAAUGUUUUAUUUUAAAAUUUAUCUAUUUAAUCCAAUGACAAAUAAGUUUUUCUCCCAUCCGUUUUAACAGUUCGAACAAAUAUUUUGUUUUCAGUUCAAGAAAUUUUAUCAAUUACGUUAAUAAUUAGUCCUAACAUGAUUAUUUGAUUUUUUUUUAUUUCUUCAGUUCGUAUUGUUUGAACUAGUUUACAUGACGAGUAGUGCAAUGGGUCCAUAUAUUAUAUAUGAAUGGGAAUUUAUCACUAAUAUAUUAUAUAUGUGUCCAUAUAUUAUACUAUUCGUGGUCAAUAGCUGUAGCCAGGAGUGGCUCUCCUUGUUGAUAAACUGAAAUUAGCGCAAACCUUGAGGACAGGCAUGAAAAAAUGGGAACACGAGCAUGAUUUGUGAUGAGAUAUAAUAUAGUUGAACCCAUGCCUUGACUGAUUCAAUAGAAAGGAGGGAAAAAAGAAGGAAAACAGGGGCAAGCAAUAAAGAAGAAGCAAAUUAUAAUCAUGGCUUCUAUAGCUGAUCGGGAAGAAGAGACAAAUAAUUUUUCAUAUGCAAUGGAACUGGCAAGUGCCAUAGUGCUACCUGCAGCUAUGCAAGCAGUGGUAGAGCUUGAUGUGUUUGAGAUCAUAAGCAAAGCCGGUCCUGGUGCUAAGCUUUCGGUUUCGGAAAUUGUGGCUCAAAUUCCCUUAAAAGAUAAUAA